UCAUUUGCUACCGUCAAAUACCUACACGUAGGUACCAUUCUUGGCAAACAAAAGCAGUUUACAACCCAUAGGGCCGUCAUCCUGCACGCGGGAUGGCUGGUUCAGGCUUGCGCCC
Molecule: ribosomal RNA, 115 nt
Filed under: uncultured bacterium
Lineage: Bacteria
Description: partial 16S ribosomal RNA
Source: RNAcentral